CAGUCGCCACGGUAAUACGUAGGGUGCGAGCGUUAAUCGGAAUUACUGGGCGUAAAGCGUGCGCAGGCGGUUGUGUAAGACAGGUGUGAAAUCCCCGGGCUUAACCUGGGAACUGCGCUUGUGACUGCACAGCUAGAGUAUGGCAGAGGGGGUGGAAUUCCACGUGUAGCAGUGAAAUGCGUAGAGAUGUGGAGGAACACCGGUGGCGAAGGCGGCCCCCUGGACAAAGAUUGACGCUCAGGUGCGAAAGCGUGGGGAGCAAACAGGAUUAGAUACCCCCGUAGUCCCUGUCUCUUAUACA
This 301-nucleotide ribosomal RNA is filed under the name uncultured bacterium. Its description in RNAcentral is "partial 16S ribosomal RNA". It matches the Rfam family "Bacterial small subunit ribosomal RNA", at positions 509 to 808 of the family's 1533-position model. The record is from RNAcentral.